This 67-nucleotide transfer RNA is filed under the name Marmota monax (woodchuck). RNAcentral's name for it is "tRNA.Ala". The record is from RNAcentral. Lineage: Eukaryota; Metazoa; Chordata; Mammalia; Rodentia; Sciuridae.
GGUUACGGCUUAGUGGUAGAGCACUUGCCUGGCAUGUGUGAGGCACUGGGUUCGAUCCUCAGCACCA